RNAcentral lists this ribosomal RNA (253 nucleotides) under uncultured bacterium. Its description in RNAcentral is "partial 16S ribosomal RNA". It matches the Rfam family "Bacterial small subunit ribosomal RNA", at positions 524 to 776 of the family's 1533-position model. The record is from RNAcentral.
UACGUAGGGGGCUAGCGUUGUCCGGAAUCAUUGGGCGUAAAGCGCGCGUAGGCGGCUCGAUAAGCCCGCUGUGAAAGUCCAGGGCUCAACCCUGGAAGGCCGGUGGAAACUGUCGGGCUAGAGUCCGGAAGAGGCGAGUGGAAUUCCCGGUGUAGCGGUGAAAUGCGCAGAUAUCGGGAGGAACACCAAUGGCGAAGGCAGCUCGCUGGGACGGUACUGACGCUGAGACGCGAAAGCGUGGGGAGCAAACAGG